AUUGAACGCUGGCGGCAGGCCUAACACAUGCAAGUCGAACGCGUGGCGGACGGGUGAGUCAUGUCUGGGAAACUGCCUGCUGGAUGGGGAUAACUCCUGGAAACGGUAGCUAAUCCCGCCUACCAUCGGCUUUUCCCAGAUUGGAUUAGCGAGUAGGUGGGUUAAAGGCUCACCUAGGCGACGAUCCCUAGCUGGUCUGAGAGGAUGACCAGCCAAACUAGAACUGAGAAACGGGCUAGAACCCCACGGGGAGGAGGAGGGGGGAAGAUUGAAACAGGGGAGCAAGCAUGAGGGAGCCAAGGCGCGGGGAAGAAGAAGGCCCUCGGGGUGUAAAGUAAUUGUAGAGGGGAGGCGUUACCAGCAGAAGAAGCACCGGCUAACUCCGUGCCAGCAGCCGCGGUAAUU
Molecule: ribosomal RNA, 405 nt
Filed under: uncultured bacterium
Lineage: Bacteria
Description: partial 16S ribosomal RNA
Rfam family: Bacterial small subunit ribosomal RNA
Source: RNAcentral